CACGUAGUUAGCCGGGGCUUCUUCUGAAGGUACCGUCACUCCACAAAGCUAUUAACUCUGGAAGCUUCGUCCCAACUGAAAGGGGUUUACAACCCGAAGGCCUUCUUCCCCCACGCGGCGUUGCUGCGUCAGGCCUUUCGCCCAUUGCGCAAGAUUCCCCACUGCUGCCUCCCGUAGGAGUCUGGGCCGUGUCUCAGUCCCAGUGUGGCUGAUCGUCCUCUCAGACCAGCUACCCAUCGUCGCCUUGGUAGGCCGUUACCCCACCAACAAGCUAAUGGGCCGCGGGCCCGUCCCGAUGCGAAGGCCGAAGCUAUCUUUACUCACUUCCCUUGGAGGAAGUGAGAACAUCCGGUAUUAGCCCGAGUUUCCUCGGGUUGUCCCGGUCAUCGGGGUAGGUUACCCACGUGUUACUCACCCGUUCGCGGCUCUGCCCCAGGGCAAGCCCUGGUCGUCGCUCCACUUGCAUGUGUUAAGCACGCCGCCAGCCGUUCGUCCUGAGCCAGGAUCAAACUCU
Molecule: ribosomal RNA, 514 nt
Filed under: uncultured Solirubrobacter sp.
Lineage: Bacteria; Bacillati; Actinomycetota; Thermoleophilia; Solirubrobacterales; Solirubrobacteraceae
Description: partial 16S ribosomal RNA
Source: RNAcentral